AGCUCCGUAACACGUGGUCAAACUACCCUCUGGACCGGGAUAUCCUCGGGAAACUGAGGUCAAUCCCAGAUACUGCUUUCAUGUUGGAACACAGAAAGUCGGAAACGGUCCGCCGCCGGAGGACGUGACUGCGGCCGAUUAGGUAGACGGUGGGGUAACGGCCCACCGUGCCGAUAAUCGGUACGGGUUGUGAGAGCAAGAACCCGGAGACGGUAUCUGAGACAAGAUACCGGGCCCUACGGGGCGCAGCAGGCGCGAAACCUUUACACUGCACGCCAGUGCGAUAAGGGGACCCCGAGUGCGAGGGCAUACAGUCCUCGCUUUUCGUGACCGUAAGAAGGUCUCAGAAUAAGAGCUGGGCAAGACCGGUGCCAGCCGCCGCGGUAAUACCGGCAGCUCGAGUGAUAGCCACUCUUAUUGGGCCUAAAGCGUCCGUAGCCGGCCGAACAGGUCCGUCGGGAAAUCCACCCGCUCAACGGGUGGACGUCCGGCGGAAACCAGUCGGCUUGGGGCCGGGAGACCAGAGAGGUACGUCCGGGGUAGGAGUGAAAUCCUGUAAUCCUGGACGGACCGCCGGUAGCGAAAGCGUCUCUGGAGAACGGACCCGACGGUGAGGGACGAAAGCUUGGGUCUCGAACCGGAUUAGAUACCCGGGUAGUCCAAGCUGUAAACGAUGCUCGCUAGGUGUGGCGUUGGCUACGAGCCAGCGCUGUGCCGUAGGGAAGCCGAGAAGCGAGCCGCCUGGGAAGUACGUCCGCAAGGAUGAAACUUAAAGGAAUUGGCGGGGGAGCACUACAACCGGAGGAGCCUGCGGUUUA
Molecule: ribosomal RNA, 818 nt
Filed under: Halococcus sp.
Lineage: Archaea; Methanobacteriati; Methanobacteriota; Halobacteria; Halobacteriales; Halococcaceae
Description: bacterial SSU rRNA
Rfam family: Archaeal small subunit ribosomal RNA
Source: RNAcentral